Molecule: ribosomal RNA, 273 nt
Filed under: uncultured bacterium
Lineage: Bacteria
Description: partial 16S ribosomal RNA
Rfam family: Bacterial small subunit ribosomal RNA
Source: RNAcentral
UAUCCUACGGGAGGCAGCAGUGGGGAAUAUUGCACAAUGGGGGAAACCCUGAUGCAGCUACGCCGCGUGAGUGAAGAAGUAUUUCGGUAUGUAAAGCUCUCUCAGCAGGGAAGAAAAAAGACGGUACCUGACUAAGAAGCCCCGGCUAACUACGUGCCAGCAGCCGCGGUAAUACGUAGGGGGCAAGCGUUAUCCGGAUUUACUGGGUGUAAAGGGAGCGUAGACGGAGAGGCAAGUCUGAAGUGAAAGCCCGUGGCUUAACCACGGGACUGC